This 904-nucleotide ribosomal RNA is filed under the name uncultured bacterium. Its description in RNAcentral is "bacterial SSU rRNA". It matches the Rfam family "Bacterial small subunit ribosomal RNA", at positions 52 to 950 of the family's 1533-position model. The record is from RNAcentral.
CACAUGCAGUCGAGGGGCAGCAUGAUUGAAGCUUGCUUCAAUUGAUGGCGACCGGCGCACGGGUGAGUAACGCGUAUCCAACCUUCCGUACACUCAGGGAUAGCCUUUCGAAAGAAAGAUUAAUACCUGAUGGUAUGAUGAGAUUGCAUGAUAGCAUCAUUAAAGAUUUAUCGGUGUACGAUGGGGAUGCGUUCCAUUAGGUAGUAGGCGGGGUAAUGGCCCACCUAGCCGACGAUGGAUAGGGGUUCUGAGAGGAAGGUCCCCCACAUUGGAACUGAGACACGGUCCAAACUCCUACGGGAGGCAGCAGUGAGGAAUAUUGGUCAAUGGACGAGAGUCUGAACCAGCCAAGUAGCGUGAAGGAUGAAGGUCCUACGGAUUGUAAACUUCUUUUAUAAGGGAAUAAAACCUCCCACGCGUGGGAGCUUGUAUGUACCUUAUGAAUAAGCAUCGGCUAACUCCGUGCCAGCAGCCGCGGUAAUACGGAGGAUGCGAGCGUUAUCCGGAUUUAUUGGGUUUAAAGGGAGCGCAGACGGGUCGUUAAGUCAGCUGUGAAAGUUUGGGGCUCAACCUUAAAAUUGCAGUUGAUACUGGCGUCCUUGAGUGCGGUUGAGGUGUGCGGAAUUCGUGGUGUAGCGGUGAAAUGCUUAGAUAUCACGAAGAACUCCGAUUGCGAAGGCAGCACACUAAGCCGUAACUGACGUUCAUGCUCGAAAGUGUGGGUAUCAAACAGGAUUAGAUACCCUGGUAGUCCACACGGUAAACGAUGGAUACUCGCUGUUGGCGAUAUACAGUCAGCGGCUUAGCGAAAGCGUUAAGUAUCCCACCUGGGGAGUACGCCGGCACGGUGAAACUCAAAGGAAUUGACGGGGGCCCGCACAAGCGGAGGAACAUGUGGUUUAAU